RNAcentral lists this unclassified non-coding RNA (288 nucleotides) under Hevea brasiliensis (rubber tree). Lineage: Eukaryota; Viridiplantae; Streptophyta; Magnoliopsida; Malpighiales; Euphorbiaceae. The record is from RNAcentral.
GCUAAGCAAGAUGGUCCUGUAGUAUUGGGUUGGAGGCAUCCUUGGGAUGGCCAUGAUGACCAUGGCCAUGGCCAUGGACACUAGACAAUUGCAUGGAAGAACGAAUGAUGAAAGCAUAAAUGUUCUUGCUCGUGGCGAUAGUUACUGAAUGCUAUUUGGACAGAUUUGUUUAGCUUCUUCUAUUCAAUAAAAUGAACACAACUCCAUUUGAAUGUGUUAGAAUUCCACGCUUUCACUUCUGAUUUGUGUGAAAAUCUUAAUGAUACUGAAGACAUACAUGGCAUUUUU